Molecule: unclassified non-coding RNA, 118 nt
Organism: Pongo abelii (Sumatran orangutan)
Lineage: Eukaryota; Metazoa; Chordata; Mammalia; Primates; Hominidae
Rfam family: Metazoan signal recognition particle RNA
About the family: The signal recognition particle (SRP) is a universally conserved ribonucleoprotein.
Source: Ensembl
GCUGGGUGUGGUGGUUCACACCUGUAAUUCCCAGAACUUUGGAAGGCGGAGGUGGGUGGUUCACUUGAGGUCAGGAGUUCAAGACAAGCCUGGCCAACACAGUGAAAACCCGUCUCUA